This 278-nucleotide ribosomal RNA is filed under the name uncultured bacterium. RNAcentral describes it as "partial 16S ribosomal RNA". It matches the Rfam family "Bacterial small subunit ribosomal RNA", at positions 80 to 354 of the family's 1533-position model. The record is from RNAcentral.
UACUCCCGCCGGCGACCGGCGCACGGGUGAGUAACACGUAUGAAACCUGCCCGUAGCAGGGGGAUAAGCGGAAGAAAUUCCGUCUAAUACCGCAUAACAACCCGAGGAGGCAUCUCCUCGGGUUUAAAGGAAGCGAUUCCGGCUACGGAUGGUCAUGCGUCGCAUUAGCUAGUUGGCGGGGUAACGGCCCACCAAGGCGACGAUGCGUAGGGGUUCUGAGAGGAAGGUCCCCCACACUGGUACUGAGACACGGACCAGACUCCUACGGAAGGCAGCAG